GACGAACGCUGGCGGCGUGCUUAACACAUGCAAGUCGAACGGAAAGGCCCUGCUUUUGUGGGGUGCUCGAGUGGCGAACGGGUGAGUAACACGUGAGUAACCUGCCCUUGACUUUGGGAUAACUUCAGGAAACUGGGGCUAAUACCGGAUAGGAGCUCCUGCUGCAUGGUGGGGGUUGGUAAGUUUCGGCGGUUGGGGAUGGACUCGCGGCUUAUCAGCUUGUUGGUGGGGUAGUGGCUUACCAAGGCUUUGACGGGUAGCCGGCCUGAGAGGGUGACCGGGCACAUUGGGACUGAGAUACGGCCCAGACGCCUACGGGAGGCAGCAGUGGAGAAUAUUGCGCAAUGGGCGGAAGCCUGAUGCAGCAACGCCGCGUGCGGGAUGACGGCCUUCGGGUUGUAAACCGCUUUCGCCUGUGACGAAGCGUGAGUGACGGUAAUGGGUAAAGAAGCACCGGCUAACUACGUG
Molecule: ribosomal RNA, 468 nt
Filed under: uncultured bacterium
Lineage: Bacteria
Description: partial 16S ribosomal RNA
Rfam family: Bacterial small subunit ribosomal RNA
Source: RNAcentral